GUUUAGUAUAUAGAUGUGAGAUGGAUUUCUGUUCUGGAUACUGGCCAGCAUUUACAUUAUCAGUAUGGUGUCUUAUCCUGCAUAUGCAUGUGACAGUGAGGAGUUGUUGCUGGUUCGCCUAGGGCGUAAAACCCACCUCCCGACAGCUGUCUAGCAUUUACAUUAUCGAUAUGGUGUCUUAUCCUGCAUAUGCAUGUGACAGUAGGGAGUUGUUGCUGGUUC
This 222-nucleotide long non-coding RNA is filed under the name Phoenix dactylifera (date palm). RNAcentral's name for it is "long non-coding RNA (PDAC_LNC004471)". The record is from RNAcentral. Lineage: Eukaryota; Viridiplantae; Streptophyta; Magnoliopsida; Arecales; Arecaceae.